RNAcentral lists this long non-coding RNA (7219 nucleotides) under Solanum lycopersicum (tomato). Its description in RNAcentral is "long non-coding RNA (SLYC_LNC000614)". Lineage: Eukaryota; Viridiplantae; Streptophyta; Magnoliopsida; Solanales; Solanaceae. The record is from RNAcentral.
AUAAAAAUAAUUCCCUCAAUAAGUAAAGCAAAAGACACAGUUAACCAAAGUUGAGAGAUGGCAGAUAUUAAGUUGCUUGGUCUAUGGUAUAGCCCUUUUAGUAAAAGAGUUGAAUGGGCUCUUAAGACUAAGGGUGUGGAAUAUGAAUAUAUAGAAGAUGAUCUACAAAAUAAGAGCCUUUUACUUCUUCAAUCCAAUCCAAUUCACAAGAAAGUCCCUGUGCUCAUUCACAAUGGGAAGCCAAUUUGUGAGUCAAGUGUGAUUCUCGAAUACAUUGACGAGACAUUUGAAGGCCCUUCCAUCUUACCUAAAGACCCUUAUGAUCGAGCUUUAGCUCGUUUCUGGGCUAAAUUCUUCGAAGAUAAGGUAUAUCGACUCCUUAACUUGUCUCUACUCUGUUAAUUGAAUAUUCUAACUUAUAAAUGAUCAACUAUACAUCUCCAAAAUUUAUGUGGCAUGUCAUGAGGUGUCUACGAGACAUGUUAAAGAGUUGGAGUGCUUAAUUGUUAAUUGAGACCAAAUAUUUAGAUAUGCACAUUCAAAGUUAGAGUACUUAUUAUCGGAUACAACCAAGUCAGAAUGUCAUUUUAUAUAUAUUAUAUGUCUUGUGUAAAAUUGGACUAAAGUAAUAAAAUAUCACAUUGCCAACAAUAACUUAUUUGUGACUGACUAAUGUACUUCUAUUGUUGUAGAUUUAUAUCUUUAAAAUUUUGUUGAAUUCAAGUUCCAAUUGUUAUGUAGUGGCCAUCAAUGAUGAAAAGUCUAUUUUUCAAAGGAGAGGAGCAAGAGAAAGGUAAAGAGGAAGUUAAUGAGAUGUUGAAAAUUCUUGAUAAUGAGCUCAAGGACAAAAAGUUUUUUGUUGGUAACAACUUUGGAUUUGUUGAUGUUGUUGCAAAUGCUGUAGCCCUUUGGUUUGGAGUUCUUGAAGAAGUAAUUGGAGUUGUUUCGGUGACAAGUGAAAAAUUCCCAAAUUUUUGCGAUUGGAGAGAUGAAUACUACAUUCAAAACAAGGAAUAUUUACCGUCAAGAGAUGAAUUGUUUGCCCAUUACCAAGCUUACAUUCAACGUGUUGCUGCUUCAAAAUGAUUACUCCUCUAUUGAAUUUUAAGAUUUCGUGUGGCAAUAAAAAAUAGUGAUGUAUUUUUUGUGAAAUCAAUGGUAAUUGAAAUAUACACGUUAAAAAAGUGAUAAAGUUUUUAUCGGCAUUAGUUAAUUAUUAUUAGAUCUACUAUGACUUUAGACUUUAAGGACAUUUAUAAAGAAUGUUAAUUUAUCAUUAAAAUAUACAUCUAUAGCAGUAAUUAAGUUAUUGUCAUUAACUAAUUUCAUUAAAGAUCAUUUUUUAUAUAGUGAGAGAAAUUUUCCUCUCAUAGAAACAACUCACGAAUUUGAGUCUCACAUUUAAAAGACAGAAAAUCCGCAAGGAUCUAAAAGAAGAUUGUUGCUAUCCAGCUAUCUCGAAAUUCAAUGUACAAUUAAUAAGAAUUCAAAACCUUUUGAUUGUGGGGGCAAAAGUGAAAAGAACGCUUCACAAAAGAAUCUUCUACAGCACGUUCUGUAACCUUAGUUCUACUCCAAUUUUUGUGGUAUAUUUAUGAAUUUAAAUAUUUUUAACACUUAAUUAUUUUGUUUUAUUUUUAAAUCCAACUUGACUAUUAACAUUUUCUAUUCAAUUAUUGUUUGGGUGGUUGGUCAGUAAUUGUACAACAAUUAAUUAAAUACACCACUAAGUUUCUCAUGAUUGACUUAUGACUCAUGGUAUGAAAGCAAUUUUAUAUUGGCCUUCUAUGUUUCCAAGAGUAAACUUUAAGGAAAAGGGUAGAUGUAUCUUGAAUUAUAAGUAGAUAUUUUUUGUCAUUUUUUAGAAAUAUUAGUAUUUUUAUCAUUCAAAAAUUAGAGUAUGUGUACUAUUUAUAUUAAUGAAAAUAUACGUAUCAUAAUUUUAUUCAUCGACUCAUUAUCGGAUCGAUGGAUAAUAUUGCGCCACAUGUCCCUAUUUACACUUUUUCGUUAAAGUGAAGGGCAUAUCGCUCUAGUUUUUAGUCGGCAGGGACAUCAAUAUUCCAAAAAUAUGACAGAAGGUAUCUGCACAACAUUUACAAUGAUUAAAGGAUAUAUUUAUUCUUUUUCCCUAAAAUAUAUUACUUCCUCUCCUCUAUUUUAAUUCAUUUAUUUUUAAAAAAUUAUUAUUUUUAAUUCUAAUUUGACAUAAUAUUUUUUAAAAAAAUUGAAUCCUUGUGAUUAAAAUCGUCAAAUAAGGCUUGAUCUUUGAGGGCAAUCCAACUCAAAUUGUUAACUGGAAUACCAGAUAGAAUAGAGUUAAAAUUUUGCAAGGCAAUUCAAAAUUGGGGCUUAUAAGCCCAACAUCAGUCAGCUCGAGCCCUUGUGGCUUGAGUGACACUGGGUUGAGGCUCUCAGCCAAAAAGAUAUGUGGUUCAAAUUUAGUAAUUAAAAUAAAUUGCGAUAAAAGAAGUAAAAACUAAAUAUAUUGAUUGUCGAAUAUAUUUUAGUAUCUUCCUCUCCUUUAUUUUAAUUAUUUAUUUAAAAAAAAAAAAUUUUUAAAUUUUUACUUGACAUAAUGUUAUUUUUUAAAAUUGUAUCUUUGUGAUUAAAAUCGUCAAAUAAAGCUUAAUCUUUGAGGCCAACCCAACUCAUAUCAUUAACCGGAUAGAAUUGAGUUCAAAUUUUGCAAGGCAAUUCAAAAUUGGAGCUUAAAAGCCCAACAUCAAUCAACUCGCGACCCUUGAGGCUCCCGGCCAAAAAGAUAUGUGAUUCAAAUUUAAAAACUAAAAUAAAUUAUAAUAAAAGAAUUGAAAAGUAAAUAUAAUGAUUGUCGAAUACGUCUUAAUAUCUUAUCUUAGGCAAUACUUUAUUCAUUUAGCGUAAAUCCUAAUCUCCUCGUGAGCAAGUUGCAUGUAAUAUUGCGUAAAGUAAUUAGUAGUGUUGUCACGGCCCGAUGACACCCACACUUACCCUCCUAUGUGAGCGAACCAACCAAUCUAAACCUUAACAUUUCAAUAUAAUAUCAACAAAAGUAAUGCGGAAGACUUAAACUCAUUAAUAAAAACCAAUUCAAUAACUUCUAAAAACUCAACAACUAUUAUUAUCCCCAAAAUCUGGAAGUCAUCAUCACAAGAACAUCUACUUCAAAUUACUAAACUAAGAGUAUUCUAAUAAACUAAAAUAAGUAAAAGCUAGUCCAUGCCGGAAGUUCAAGGCAUCAAGACAUGAAGAGGAAGAUCCAGUCCAAGCUAGAAGCAUUAGCUCACCCUGAUAUCCGGAGUAAUGAAGACUGGCUAGAGUUGCGUUUGAGUUGAAGACGAUGGCACGUUUGCUGCACUCCACAAAUAACAAAGAAGAAAACAUAAAAGUAGGGGGUCAGUACAAAACACGGGUACUGAGUAGAUAUCAUCGGCCAACUAAAAAUAGAAAACAGUAUAUAUCAGAUAAUAUCAUAAAAUCAACUACAAUACUCAACAUGCGGCAUUUACAAUUACCAUAACCCUUGGUCAUAACACCAAUCUCAUCAAUGAGGACUCACGCCUCCCUAUCAUACUCAUUUGGGAUUUAGGUUCAUUAAAUUGAGUAUAUUAACAUAUUUCAAGAUUCAUUCUCUUUACUAAUCCUGGUGUCGGAACGUGACACUCCGAUCCUCAUCAUACUAUCCUGGUGUCGAAAUGUGACACUCCGAUCCUCAUAUACUAUCCUGGUACCGGAACGUGGCACCCGAUCCUCAUAUACUAUCCUGGUACCGGAACGUGGCACCCGAUCCUCAUAUACUAUCCUGGUACCGGAACGUGGCACCCGAUCCAUAUUCUAUCUUGGUGUCGGAACGUGACACUCCGAUCCUCAUAUACUAUUCUGGUACCGGAACGUGGCACCCGAUCCAUAUUCUAUCCUGGUGUCAGAACGUGACACUCCGAUCCUCAUAUACUAUCCUGGUAUUGGAACGUGGCACCCGAUCCCCUAAUCUCAUUACUUUCGUUCAUCAAGCCUUCUUUUAUACCAAGGAAUCAUCAUUAAAAAAGUAGAUUAGGGUUUCUUUUUCAAGAUUUAGGAUUCAAUAGCUUCAUCAUGCUUAUUUUAUCACAAUUAUAUAAUCACAACAUGCAAACACACAAUUAAGCAUAUAGAAGGGUUUACAACACUACCCAAUACAUAUCAUUCGCUAUUAAGAGUUUACUAUGAAAGAGCAUAAAAACCAUAACCUACCUCCACCGAAGAUUCGUGAUCAAGCAACAAGCUAAUCUUCAAAGUCUUUGCUUUCCUCUUCGUUUCUCCCCUUUCUCGUUCGAUUCUCUUUCUCUCUCUUCUGUUCUUUCUAUUUUUCUUAUUCAGGCUCUCUUUCUUUUACCCUAAUUAACAUAUAAUUAAGAAUAAAAGAUGGCAAUAAUAACCCACUAGUUUACUCAAGGUUACCUCUUUUAGCCCCCAAGUAAUUGAGUUAUUAAUAUUAAACCACUAACAUUAUAAUUAUAAGUCGGAAUAGUCAAAAACGUCCCUUAAAACAUUAAAGAAAUCCGACUCCGCCUAGGAUUACGCAGCCUGUGACGGGCCGUCGUGCCUGCGACGGUCCGUCCUGCUGCUCCGUCACAGAGUUCAGAGACUCAAUUCUCUGAAGAGUCUGUGACGGUCCGUCACGCCUGUGACGGUCCGUCCUGCCAUUCCGUUACGAAGUUCAGAGAGUCGAUUUCAGUACCCAUUUUUUAAAAUUUCUAAGUGUUUUGAAACGAGACACCCUCGACGGUCCGUCGUGCCCAUGACGGUCCGUCGUGGAUUCCGUCAUCUCAGCCUGUUUUUCCAGAAAUAAAAUCUGCUGCUCAAAACGACUAAACAGAUCGUUACAAUAGAUACCAAUUUACCCAUCGUUCGUCCCCGAACGAUCACAAGAAGGAAAACAAGGGCGAGAAGGAGUACCUGAAUCUGUAAACAGGUUUGGGUAUCUUUCUCGCAUAUCAGCCUCUUUCUCCCAAGUGGCUUCUUCGACGGGUCGAUUCUUCCAUUGAACUUUGAUGGAUGCAAUCUCCCUUGACCUUAGCUUGUGAACUUCUCUGUCUAAAAUGGCAACAGGUUCCUCCUCAUAAGACAAAUUCUCAUCAAGCAAAAUGGAAUCCCAACGGAUGAUGUAGUUUCCAUCCCCGUGGUAUCUUUUCAACAUAGACACAUGGAAUACCGGAUGCACUCCUGACAACCCUGGAGGCAAGGCUAACUCAUAAGCCACCUCCCCUACUCGCUUAAGUAUUUCAAAGGGACCAAUAUAUCUUGGGCUUAAUUUUCCCCUUUUACCAAAACGCAUCACCCCUUUCAUGGGUGAGACCUUCAGCAAGACCUGUUCACCCUCCAUAAACUCCAAGUCUCUAACCUUGCGAUCCGCAUAUUCCUUUUGCCUACUUUGCGCCGCUAGAAGCUUUUCUUGAAUAGAUUUCACUUUAUAUAACGAUUCCCUCAGAAGAUCAGUACCCCAAGGUCUAACUUCAAAUGCAUCAAACCACCCAAUGGGAGACCUACAUCUUCUCCCAUAUAGUGCCUCAAAUGGGCCAUAUCAAUGCUUGAGUGAUAGCUAUUGUUGUAGAAUUUAUUUUUUGUCGAGUGUUUAGUUUAUGAUUGCUCAAUUCGUUUUGUGUUUAGAUUAAAAAUUCUAUAAAAAGCUCCUUUAAUUUCUAAUUAUAUCUUUGAAUUAUUAUGAAUUUUCUAUUCAUGUAACUGGGUCAAGGUAGAUAAUUGCCGGACAAUUUUUUUAUGACCUUGUAACUAGCUAGGAGAAGAACAAUUUUAUUGUCAUGUUUACUAUUUUCUCACAUGAAUAAUUUUAGGAUAAAUAAUUGUCAUCUUAAUAAAUUGAUCACCUACGGAAUGUCAAUUUUCAAUGUUUCAUAUUUUUCUUAGAUCUUAUGAUUUUAAACAUGUCAUGUGAAAAAUUGAAACUAAAGAAUUGCUAAAAAAGAAAUAAAUAUUUUUUUUUAAAAAAUAUUCCUUUAUAGAAAAUAAAUAGUAUUUUCUACUAAAUUUUCUUUAAUUAAAUGUCUUGAAAAAGAGACAACUCUUUUAAGUGUUACGUAUUAUUAGACAUUUCAAUAAUUUAAAGAAUUCGAACUCACAACUCUAGCACGGAAAAUAUUCAAUUUCCAUGACCCAUUCCUUAUACUAACUUAUCAAUCAGUUUUGUUAGGAGUUCAUAAGAUAAUAUUGAUAAUAUUUUUAUAAUUUUGUAAUAAAUAUAAAAUUUACGAAAAAGUUCAUAUAUAUUCGAAUAAAAUUAUCCCAUUAUUUAUUUGAUUUAAAAUUUGAAUUUUCGUUGGAAUAAAAUUCUUCGUCCGAGAGAAAAGUAUCUUAGCUGUUCACAUGCUAAGGAACUAGGAAGUUUCGCCUUUGGUGGGCCAGUGAUUGUAUAUUUUAUUAUUUAAUAUAUAUCAAUUUCCUCAUCAAAUUGAAAAUGAAAGAUAAAAUCAACGGUAUUUUAAUUGUUAAUAUUUUCAAAUAAUAUUUUUUAAUUUUGUUUAGUUUUAAAAUUAAAAUACAUCAAAUAUAUUAAAAAUUCAUUAAUUUUAUAUGGCAAAGCACGCUACAUGAAAAAUUAAAAAAAAGGCCAUCAAACAAAUGAAAAGGAAUAUCGUUCGUAAAAUAAAUUAUAAAUAAAAAUAAAUUGAAUAAAUUAAAAAUAUAAGUAUAUUUUUAAAGAGUGAUUUUUCUAUCCACUAGAUUUGACCAAAAUGUUGGUGACAUGAGCGCACAAGUCAUCGUUAUUAUUGUAUUAUUCCUAAAAAAAAAAUAGGGAAGAUGUUCAAACAAGCGUCUAGUUAGUCAAAUAUAAUUUUUAAUAUUAAAAAAUUGAAUAGUCAAACAAGAAAAACAUUAAUAUAUCCCUAUUUUUUUCCUCUAUAAAUAAUAAAAAAGACUAUACACCAAGGGAGCCAAAAAAAAAAUUGAGAACCAAAGUUGAGAGAUGGCAGAAGUGAAGUUGCUUGGUCUAAGUUAUAGCCCUUUUAAUCAUAGAGUUGAAUGGGCUCUAAAGAUUAAGGGAGUGAAAUAUGAAUUUAUAGAAGAAGAUUUACAAAAUAAGAGUUCUUUACUUCUAGAAUCAAAUCCAAUUCACAAGAAAAUUCCAGUGCUAAUUCACAAUGGCAAGCCCAUUUGUGAGUCUAUGGUCAUUCUUGAAUACAUUGAUGAGGCAUUUGAAGGCCCUUCCAUUUUGCCUAAAGACCCUUAUGAUCGAGCUUUA